This 250-nucleotide ribosomal RNA is filed under the name uncultured bacterium. RNAcentral's name for it is "partial 16S ribosomal RNA". It matches the Rfam family "Bacterial small subunit ribosomal RNA", at positions 524 to 773 of the family's 1533-position model. The record is from RNAcentral.
UACGGAGGGGGCAAGCGUUGUUCGGAAUCAUUGGGCGUAAAGGGCGCGUAGGCGGCCGAUCAAGUCGGGUGUGAAAUCCCUCGGCUCAACCGAGGAACUGCACUCGAUACUGUUCGGCUAGAGUCCGGGAGGGGAUGGUGGAAUUCCCAGUGUAGCGGUGAAAUGCGUAGAUAUUGGGAAGAACACCGGUGGCGAAGGCGGCCAUCUGGACCGGCACUGACGCUGAGGCGCGAAAGCCAGGGGAGCGAAU